CCCGCAACGAGCGCAACCCCUAUUGUUAGUUGCCAUCAUUCAGUUGGGCACUCUAGCGAGACUGCCGGUAAUAAACCGGAGGAAGGUGGGGAUGACGUCAAAUCAUCAUGCCCCUUAUGACCUGGGCUACACACGUGCUACAAUGGUUGGUACAACGAGUUGCGAGUCGGUGACGGCGAGCUAAUCUCUUAAAGCCAAUCUCAGUUCGGAUUGUAGGCUGCAACUCGCCUACAUGAAGUCGGAAUCGCUAGUAAUCGCGGAUCAGCACGCCGCGGUGAAUACGUUCCCGGGCCUU
RNAcentral lists this ribosomal RNA (295 nucleotides) under uncultured Streptococcus sp. RNAcentral's name for it is "partial 16S ribosomal RNA". It matches the Rfam family "Bacterial small subunit ribosomal RNA", at positions 1086 to 1382 of the family's 1533-position model. The record is from RNAcentral. Lineage: Bacteria; Bacillati; Bacillota; Bacilli; Lactobacillales; Streptococcaceae.